This 433-nucleotide ribosomal RNA is filed under the name uncultured bacterium. Its description in RNAcentral is "partial 16S ribosomal RNA". It matches the Rfam family "Bacterial small subunit ribosomal RNA", at positions 29 to 507 of the family's 1533-position model. The record is from RNAcentral.
AACGAACGCUGGCGGCAUGCCUAACACAUGCAAGUCGAACGAGACCUUCGGGUCUAGUGGCGCACGGGUGCGUAACGCGUGGGAACCUGCCCUUAGGUUCGGAAUAACUCCCCGAAAGGGGUGCUAAUACCGGAUAAUGUCUUCGGACCAAAGAUUUAUCGCCUUUGGAUGGGCCCGCGUUGGAUUAGCUGGUUGGUAGGGUAAAAGCCUACCAAGGCGACGAUCCAUAGCUGGGCUGAGAGGAUGAUCAGCCACACUGGGACUGAGACACGGCCCAGACUCCUACGGGAGGCAGCAGUGGGGAAUAUUGGACAAUGGGCUAAAGGCUGAUCCAGCAAUGCCGCGUAAGUGAUGAAGGCCUUAGGGUUGUAAAGCUCUUUUACCCGGGAUGAUAAUGACAGUACCGGGAGAAUAAGCUCCGGCUAACUCCGUG